GACGAAGGGGGCUAGCGUUGUUCGGAAUUACUGGGCGUAAAGCGCGUGUAGGCGGUUAUCCAAGUCGGGUGUGAAAGCCUUGAGCUCAACUCAAGAAAUGCACUCGGUACUGGGUGACUAGAGGACCGGAGAGGAUAGUGGAAUUCCCAGUGUAGUGGUGAAAUACGUAGAGAUUGGGAAGAACACCAGUGGCGAAGGCGGCUAUCUGGACGGUUUCUGACGCUAAGACGCGAAAGCGUGGGGAGCAAACCGG
Molecule: ribosomal RNA, 253 nt
Filed under: uncultured bacterium
Lineage: Bacteria
Description: partial 16S ribosomal RNA
Rfam family: Bacterial small subunit ribosomal RNA
Source: RNAcentral